Long non-coding RNA from Gordionus sp. m RMFG-2023, 133 nucleotides. RefSeq lists it as uncharacterized. NCBI's taxonomy places the organism in Eukaryota, Metazoa, Nematomorpha, Gordioida, Chordodea, Parachordodidae. The transcript is spliced from 3 exons. The record is from RefSeq and is a predicted model, not a curated record.
GCGCCUCGAUGGCACCACAAUGCCAUUACUAUGAUGGAUUCUCAAGAGAUAGUAGAAGAUGAAACCUUAUUUAGAGAUUUAGAGUUAGAAAAUACUAAUACUAUUAUGGAUUCUCAACAGAAGAAUGAAGAUG